ACACUACAAACACUUGGAGGGCCAACAAGGAAAGACAACAAGGAAGUGCAUUUAGCAAAAAGAGGAUCAACAAAGGGAGUUUUCUUAAUUUCCUUGCAACUUAAUUUGUGUUAAUUACCUCUUAAUUACGAUUUAGACGGUGAGUGUGUCUUCAAGGGCUCAAAGUGUCCAAGAAGCCUCACCUAGGGUCGACUAGUAUAGAAUUCUUAAUUAG
This 214-nucleotide long non-coding RNA is filed under the name Phaseolus vulgaris (common bean). Its description in RNAcentral is "long non-coding RNA (PVUL_LNC003940)". Lineage: Eukaryota; Viridiplantae; Streptophyta; Magnoliopsida; Fabales; Fabaceae. The record is from RNAcentral.